UCCGAGUUGACCCCGGCAGUCUCUUAUGAGUCCCCACCAUGACGUGCUGGCAACAUAAGACGAGGGUUGCGCUCGUUGCGGGACUUAACCCAACAUCCCACGACACGAGCUGACGACAGCCAUGCACCACCUGUAUACCGACUAAAAGGGGCUGUAUCUCUACAGCUUUCCGGCAUAUGUCAAGCCCAGGUAAGGUUCUUCGCGUCGCAUCGAAUUAAGCAACACGCUCCGCUGCUUGUGCGGGCCCCCGUCAAUUCCUUUGAGUUUUAGCCUUGCGGCCGUACUCCCCAGGCGGGGCACUUAAUGCGUUAGCGACGGCGCGGAUCUCGUUGGUUGAGACCCACACCUAGUGCCCAACGUUUACGGCGUGGACUAC
RNAcentral lists this unclassified non-coding RNA (376 nucleotides) under uncultured Acidimicrobiia bacterium. RNAcentral describes it as "contains 16S-23S intergenic spacer region". Lineage: Bacteria; Bacillati; Actinomycetota; Acidimicrobiia. The record is from RNAcentral.